Molecule: long non-coding RNA, 626 nt
Organism: Mesocricetus auratus (golden hamster)
Lineage: Eukaryota; Metazoa; Chordata; Mammalia; Rodentia; Cricetidae
Exons: 3
Source: RefSeq, a predicted model, not a curated record
UUAUGGAGGCUGUCCUGGAACUAGCUCUGUAGACCAGGCUGGCCUCAAACUCACAGUGAUUCCCCUGCCUUUGCCUCCCGAAUGCUGGGAUGGAUGCAGCUGAAAAGAGACUCUCAGCAUGUGACUAUCUGGAUCAGAGUGUGGACCUUUGAGAUGCCUGUGGGAGAUUGCCUUGAAGGUGUUCAAUAGAAAGACUCAGUCUGAAAGUGGGUGAAGAAGACAUUGAAUAAUAGAGUGGACAUGUACACAAGACUAAAGGGUCCAGAGGUUGGGGACGGCUGUCUGAAGAUUGUGCAAGACAGGAACUCUUAAUGCCUCAAGAUGCUAUGGAGCUGCGGAAGUAAUCCACUCUCAUGAUGCCUGGGUGAAGCAGGGUUCUACUAGCAAUUAUUUUUUAAGUAGAGGUAUCUGCACCAGCAAGAUGCUUAAUGGGUCAAAGGGCUUACCACCUGAUGAUCUGAGUUCCAUCUAAAGGAUUCACAGAGUGGAAGGAGAGAAAUGACUCCCACCAAGUUAACUUCUGACCUCCAUGUGCAGACAUGAUAUGGACAUACCCACAUAUAAUCAACCAAUGAGUGAGUAAUAAAUAAAGGUUGAGGGAAGUUUGACCAUCUGUCCAGACUGGC